Long non-coding RNA from Drosophila yakuba, 2193 nucleotides. RefSeq lists it as uncharacterized. NCBI's taxonomy places the organism in Eukaryota, Metazoa, Arthropoda, Insecta, Diptera, Drosophilidae. The record is from RefSeq and is a predicted model, not a curated record. The transcript has 2 exons.
AUGCAUUGCAAAUUGUUGCUGGCGGUGCGGAAAUCACAAAAAAUUAGACGACCCCGUGAUUGCCAUCAUUCUGGAUGCUAGUUCUGCGAGUUCUGGUUGGCUUUCGGUUUUAGUUAUAUCUGGGCUUUAUUUUUUCAGUGGUUCCCGGGCUGGGGGGCGUGGCCACCACCCACCCGCCGGCGAGCCAUUAAGAGCAAUUUGUUGACAGUGACACACAAAAAUGGACACACAAAGCGACGCGAGGCGACAAAACAGGCUCAACCAAACAAACAAACCGCAACCAAGCCAAACUAACAAAAAUGAAAGAAAAAAAAAUAUAGCAAAAUAAAAUAGUAAUGAUAACAUGGAGGGAAAAUCGGAAAAUGUGAGACAAUUCCGUGACAUCAUCAAAUCACUUUAAUUGCAAUCGCCGCCAAGGUUGGCAAAUUGAGUAAGGAUAACCGUCGUUCCUGUAUUUAUGUUCCUCAUUUAUUUCACUUUGAUUUAUUUCCCAUUACUGAGAAAGUAUCUACAACUGUUGAAUCUAAUUUUCCCUCUGACUUGGGCAUCUUUCGGAUGUCUGCUUCUGAAGCCAGGUGAAAUUGAAGGCGCUUUAUGUGGGAACAGGUGCAAUAAAAUAAUGGCAAGCAAUGGUAAGUUAGCUUGCAGUGACAGCUGAUAGAUUAUGGUGAAAGUAUAAGUAAUAUAGUUUUCAAAACUGGUGUCCUUUAUGACCUAUUCCCUAAUCGAUCUAAUGACUUGACCGCGACUGUUGCUAGAUGUGCGUGUUUGCUGGAGCGGUCAUCGCUUGGCCAUCAUCUCCGCACAUCCGCUGGGCAUCUGAGCUGUUUUUUUUUGUAUUAUUUUGUAUUAUUUUGCAUUUUCCAUGCACUCUGGUGAUGCGAUGUGUGUCUUUGUGGGGCCACGCAGAUUUCCGCUGCAGUUUGACAUUUGCAGUGGUGCGCCGGUGAUAAGAGAGCUGUGCAGCGGACAAAAGGCAACGCCAAACGCCACAAGGAGGCAUCAUGGAUGAUCAUGGAAGCAUGUCAAUUGCACUGAGAUACAAAGAUACUGAGAUACAUGUGUGGCUGGCGAAAAUAGUACUUAUUUAUUUCUACAUGCGCGAUGUCGUGCUGCUAAAGCGUGCAAUUUGCCACAGUCGCCAUACUAUACUCUAUACUAUAUUCUAAAUGCUAUAUGCUAGAUGCUAUAUGAUAUAUGGUAUAUAGUAGCUGGAUCCAAAGGCAAAUCAAAGGCAGCAGACGACAAAAGGCGGACGACAAACAAAAAAGAGCGCACGGAAAAAAUUAAAAUGUGUGUCAACAAAUUGCACAAAUUAUCGGCAGUUGAGCGCAGUUUGGGUGCACUCGAAAAAAAACUAAGGCACUCAUAAGAGAAGCUCAAAGCGAUAUUAAAAAGGUGAUUUUAAGAGGAAAAAGUAUCUGCCAAGCCAUUUCUUUCGGUGUAGUCCAACCUUACUGACCCACAACUCGUUUGUGACUCCAGUGUGUGACAACAAACAAAGAUAUGACCUUAAUCUGAUCACCUUUAAAUUGGCAUGCGAAUAGAGAAGGCUUCACUGUACUUGAAGCGUACGCUUGUGGGCGGAGUGGGCGGCAUUGCAUCCAUCCACAUGACAAUGGGCUAAUUGCAGGGAAUCCAUCACGCGGACUCAUCCCACUGUUCAUAAAAAACACAACUCAACACUUGACCCUGCGGUAUCUGCCCUUUUUGGUUUGAUUUUAUUCAUCCCAUUCAACUUUACAUCGAUUUGCAUAAUAAAUCACAGCUACUGUAAACACAACAUUGCGUGGGCCUCUUUUUGAAUUAAAAAUCGAAAAAAAACUGGAAAAUCAUACAAAUUGAGCGAACUAUAAAAAUGAAAAGGAAAUUGUCUACAUUUAUAUGAAACAAGCGGAUAAGUUUUGUAUAUUUUAAAAAGCUGAAUUAAAAGUUGAAUCUAACGAUUGCUUUAUAUAAAUAAAUAAGUAUCAUGCUAAAAUUUUAUGGUAUUUAUUCGCUUACAUAUUUUCGCUCACAUUUUUCAAAGUAAAAUAGACAAUAAUUUCAGUUAAAAAUCUUUAUAUGUAUAAUCUCUGCAAGCUGCCCAUCAAAAUCAAUGGUCACAGGCCCAACCCAAAUUAAAUAAAUAAAUGGCUUUUUGCUCGCUGACAUUUUUUAGGUGCGAAUGCAGAGGAGAAUACACAUCCAUCA